UAUGAUGAAACGUUUCAGUGC
RNAcentral lists this non-coding RNA (21 nucleotides) under Caenorhabditis elegans. Lineage: Eukaryota; Metazoa; Nematoda; Chromadorea; Rhabditida; Rhabditidae. The record is from RNAcentral.